This 465-nucleotide ribosomal RNA is filed under the name Vreelandella stevensii. Its description in RNAcentral is "partial 16S ribosomal RNA". It matches the Rfam family "Bacterial small subunit ribosomal RNA", at positions 338 to 795 of the family's 1533-position model. Lineage: Bacteria; Pseudomonadati; Pseudomonadota; Gammaproteobacteria; Oceanospirillales; Halomonadaceae. The record is from RNAcentral.
CCUAUGGGAGGCUGCAGUGGGGAAUAUUGGACAAUGGGCGAAAGCCUGAUCCAGCCAUGCCGCGUGUGUGAAGAAGGCCUUCGGGUUGUAAAGCACUUUCAGUGGGGAAGAAAGCCUUGGGGCUAAUACCCUCGAGGAAGGACAUCACCCACAGAAGAAGCACCGGCUAACUCCGUGCCAGCAGCCGCGGUAAUACGGAGGGUGCGAGCGUUAAUCGGAAUUACUGGGCGUAAAGCGCGCGUAGGCGGUCUGAUAAGCCGGUUGUGAAAGCCCCGGGCUCAACCUGGGAACGGCAUCCGGAACUGUCAGGCUAGAGUGCAGGAGAGGAAGGUAGAAUUCCCGGUGUAGCGGUGAAAUGCGUAGAGAUCGGGAGGAAUACCAGUGGCGAAGGCGGCCUUCUGGACUGACACUGACGCUGAGGUGCGAAAGCGUGGGUAGCAAACAGGAUUAGAUACCCCAGUAGUC